AUCCAGAUGAUGAGUCUCAAAUAGGACGAAACGCUUGUUUUAGAU
This 45-nucleotide non-coding RNA is filed under the name Schistosoma bovis. The record is from RNAcentral. RNAcentral also lists the same sequence under 1 other name. Lineage: Eukaryota; Metazoa; Platyhelminthes; Trematoda; Strigeidida; Schistosomatidae.